CGCGAAGAACCUUACCAAGGCUUGACAUACACCGGAAAGCAUCAGAGAUGGUGCCCCCCUUGUGGUCGGUGUACAGGUGGUGCAUGGCUGUCGUCAGCUCGUGUCGUGAGAUGUUGGGUUAAGUCCCGCAACGAGCGCAACCCUUGUCCCGUGUUGCCAGCAGGCCCUUGUGGUGCUGGGGACUCACGGGAGACCGCCGGGGUCAACUCGGAGGAAGGUGGGGACGACGUCAAGUCAUCAUGCCCCUUAUGUCUUGGGCUGCACACGUGCUACAAUGGCCGGUACAAUGAGCUGCGAUACCGCGAGGUGGAGCGAAUCUCAAAAAGCCGGUCUCAGUUCGGAUUGGGGUCUGCAACUCGACCCCAUGAAGUCGGAGUCGCUAGUAAUCGCAGAUCAGCAUUGCUGCGGUGAAUACGUUCCCGGGUCUUGUACACACCG
Molecule: ribosomal RNA, 438 nt
Filed under: Streptomyces sp.
Lineage: Bacteria; Bacillati; Actinomycetota; Actinomycetes; Kitasatosporales; Streptomycetaceae
Description: bacterial SSU rRNA
Rfam family: Bacterial small subunit ribosomal RNA
Source: RNAcentral